Molecule: ribosomal RNA, 492 nt
Filed under: uncultured bacterium
Lineage: Bacteria
Description: partial 16S ribosomal RNA
Rfam family: Bacterial small subunit ribosomal RNA
Source: RNAcentral
AGUGAACGCUGGCGGUAGGCCUAACACAUGCCAGUCGAACGGCAGCACAGUAAGAGCUUGCUCUUACGGGUGGCGAGUGGCGGACGGGUGAGGAAUACAUCGGAAUCUACUUUUUCGUGGGGGAUAACGUAGGGAAACUUACGCUAAUACCGCAUACGACCUACGGGUGAAAGCAGGGGAUCUUCGGACCUUGCGCGAUUGAAUGAGCCGAUGUCGGAUUAGCUAGUUGGCGGGGUAAAGGCCCACCAAGGCGACGAUCCGUAGCUGGUCUGAGGGGAUGAUCAGCCACACUGGAACUGAGACACGGUCCAGACUCCUACGGGAGGCAGCAGUGGGGAAUAUUGGACAAUGGGCGCAAGCCUGAUCCAGCCAUACUGCGUGGGUGAAGAAGGCCUUCGGGUUGUAAAGCCCUUUUGUUGGGAAAGAAAAGCAGCAGGUUAAUACCCCGCUGUUCUGACGGUACCCAAAGAAUAAGCACCGGCUAACUUCGUG